Hyla sarda is the source of this 584-nucleotide long non-coding RNA. RefSeq lists it as uncharacterized. NCBI's taxonomy places the organism in Eukaryota, Metazoa, Chordata, Amphibia, Anura, Hylidae. The record is from RefSeq and is a predicted model, not a curated record. The transcript is spliced from 4 exons.
CAAAGAUUGUAGGGACUUGAUGAUGUGGGGAAGAUACAGAUGUGGAAUGGCAUUAAAGGGGCACAGCUACAGUCAGCCCUACCUAGAAAAUGGAGUGCACUUGGCAGUGAUCAGUGAGUGUAGACAGAGGGAAAACCUUAAGUCAACAGAAGUGAGCUGGCAAACAAGGGAAGAAAAGCUGUUAGCUAUAAGUACAGUGAAUUUAUUAUCCAUCCAGGCUAAAGGAGAAAACGCUUGUUUGUUGGCGGAUUUGAUCUUUUGUGCGACAGCUAAUGUAGUGACAGAACACAUCCCAGAAGGGAGCUUCGCUAUAGGGGUGGAGAGGUCCCCAGAAAGAAUUGACAUGUCCUAGCGCCCGCAGGAUCGUUCAAAUGUGCGGAAUGUCAGCCACAGCAUAUUCAUAGUUUUCAGCGGCAGAGCGGUUUCUCCGUAUACAGUAUGUGCAUGUACAGUUGCAGAAACUUACAUGUCUCCAUGGACCAAUCCAUAAAUCUCGGUUAUGUUCUUGUGGUAAAUACUUUUGAGAAUGACCAGGUGCAGGACAACGACAGCUGCAGGAAGUCCCCAUCCUACCACAAAGAAGA